UACAGAGGUCCCAAGCGUUGUUCGGAAUUACUGGGCGUAAAGGGCUCGUAGGCGGCCAACUAAGUCAGACGUGAAAUCCCUCGGCUUAACCGGGGAACUGCGUCUGAUACUGGAUGGCUUGAGUUUGGGAGAGGGAUGCGGAAUUCCAGGUGUAGCGGUGAAAUGCGUAGAUAUCUGGAGGAACACCGGUGGCGAAGGCGGCAUCCUGGACCAACACUGACGCUGAGGAGCGAAAGCCAGGGGAGCAAACGGG
This 253-nucleotide ribosomal RNA is filed under the name uncultured bacterium. Its description in RNAcentral is "partial 16S ribosomal RNA". It matches the Rfam family "Bacterial small subunit ribosomal RNA", at positions 524 to 776 of the family's 1533-position model. The record is from RNAcentral.